RNAcentral lists this unclassified non-coding RNA (375 nucleotides) under soil metagenome. RNAcentral's name for it is "partial contains 5.8S ribosomal RNA, internal transcribed spacer 2, and large subunit ribosomal RNA". The stretch from base 1 to 120 matches the Rfam family "5.8S ribosomal RNA", at positions 35 to 154 of the family's 154-position model. The record is from RNAcentral.
GAUGAAGAACGCAGCGAAAUGCGAUAAGUAAUGUGAAUUGCAGAAUUCAGUGAAUCAUCGAAUCUUUGAACGCAUCUUGCGCUCCUUGGUAUUCCGAGGAGCAUGCCUGUUUGAGUGUCAUUAAAUUCUCAACUACACUGACUUUGAUUGGUGUGGCUUGGAUUUGGGGGGAAAAUUGUUGUGGGCUUUUUGUAUAGUCUGCUCCCCUGAAAUUGAUUAGCGGUACCUUUGUGGAACUGUCUACAGGUGUGAUAAUUAUCUACAUCUUAGACAUCUGCUGGAAUGCUGCUUUCUAAACCUUACUUGUAUUGACAAUCUUGACCUCAAAUCAGGUAGGACUACCCGCUGAACUUAAGCAUAUCAAUAAGCGGAGGA